This 849-nucleotide long non-coding RNA is filed under the name Polistes fuscatus (common paper wasp). Its description in RNAcentral is "uncharacterized LOC122522706". Lineage: Eukaryota; Metazoa; Arthropoda; Insecta; Hymenoptera; Vespidae. The record is from RNAcentral.
UAUCUCCAAGCGUCAUACCAGAGAUUCCAUUUAAAUUUUUAUGCGAAUAAAAUUCAGCUGCAGUUAUAAAGAAUAAGCAAGACAUGAAUCUUUUAAAAGGUUUUCAAUUAUUUUACUGGAAGAGAGAGCAUAUAACUUUCCACAACGAUAAGAAGAAGCUGACAACACUGCAAUCAUGAAAGAUUUUGGAAGACAGUCUUCUUUUUACCACACUGCAAAUAAACCAUGUGCAUUUAUUUUCUAUCAAAAAAAUUGAAGAAGGAAUGCAUCCUAGUUAUUACAAAUUUAAAAAAUAAAUAGGAAUUGUAUUAUAUUGGAAGAUUCUUUAAUUUGCAGAGGUUUCAUGUGAAUUAUUAUGCGUAUAGAAUGCAUCUACGGUGACAAAAAAUAAUUUAAACAAGAAUCUAUUAAUAGGAAGAGAUUGCGCAAUCUUUAUUUUAUUACCGACGAGUGAGGUGAGUAUACCCACAUCUUGGCGAAUGCAGCUCAUACCAAUGGAGAACGUUGUUAGGCGUAUAGGCUGUGAAAAAAAAUGAUUGCACAAGCAUGUCAAUUGUCUGUGAAUUAAAUUUUAUGUACUCCAUCAACUUCGAAUUUACUAAUGACUUCUGCACCAUCGCCUCAGCCUGUGAUUACUGGUACAAAAAUUUGUAUGAAUUUAGCAGAUAGCAAUUAUCAUCAAUUUGAUACUUUCCAUUAUCAAAGUCUGCAUGCUCACUCCAGUGAUCUUAUUGAUUCAAUUAUACAAAAAUCUCAAAUUUUAAUGUUGAGUGAAACUUGGUUAUAUGAUAAUGAGUCUAUUAGUAUACCAAAUUUAAAAUGUAUAAUUCAAUACAAAUGAUCAAAUGU